UACGUAGGGUGCAAGCGUUGUCCGGAAUUAUUGGGCGUAAAGAGCUCGUAGGCGGUCUGUCACGUCGGCUGUGAAAUCCCGAGGCUCAACCUCGGGUCGUGCAGUCGAUACGGGCAAACUAGAGUAUUGCAGGGGAGACUGGAAUUCCUGGUGUAGCGGUGAAAUGCGUAGAUAUCAGGAGGAACACCGGUGGUGUAAACGGCUUCUGGACCAUAACUGACGCUGAGGCACGAAAGCGUGGGUAGCAAACAGG
RNAcentral lists this ribosomal RNA (253 nucleotides) under uncultured bacterium. Its description in RNAcentral is "partial 16S ribosomal RNA". It matches the Rfam family "Bacterial small subunit ribosomal RNA", at positions 524 to 776 of the family's 1533-position model. The record is from RNAcentral.